This is a long non-coding RNA of Pseudophryne corroboree (corroboree frog), 2135 nucleotides long. RefSeq lists it as uncharacterized. The transcript is spliced from 2 exons. The record is from RefSeq and is a predicted model, not a curated record. Lineage: Eukaryota; Metazoa; Chordata; Amphibia; Anura; Myobatrachidae.
GCCGAGGGAAGUGGCCAUCCUGCUGCACAUGGUGCUCCCCGUCCCUGCGCGGCGGCCGGCGGCUAUGUAGAGCGCUGUAUUAGCUCACAGCCGCUCACCACUGCCAGCCGCCCGCGCACGCCGCUCACCAUCCGCCCGCUGCUCCCGCUCACCAGCCGGCCGCCGGCCCCGCUCACCAGCCGCCCGGUGCCAAGUCACUGCUGCCAGCAUCAAAUAAGAAAUGUCUCUAGACCAAGAAUGAGAUUUCAUCUCAGGUUUCCUGGACCUCUACAAAGCACAUACAGUACUGUAAGUGUCUCUGGUUGGAAAAUUCACACACCAAUAAAAUCAAGCGCAAUCAAGCUUAUGAAGAGCUCGCCAGCUGCUGCAAGUCACACCAUGAUACGGUGUCAGUCCUCUGGGUUCGCAAAAGAUUCAGAAUCUCCGGACUGUUUUCCUCAAAGAACAUAAAAAGAGAGAACAGUCAAAAAGGUCAGGAGCUGGGACCAAUGAUUUAUACCAAACCAAUCUGUGGUAUUAUUACCAACUAUUUUUUACAGUGCAGUAGGAACCAGUCUGGAAAUCUCUGGUCCUCAUGGCCGAGGCUGAUGGCCGAGGCUGAAGAGGGCGGUGCGGAGGAAGAAGAUUUUAUUAUUAUUUAUUGCCAGUUAUUUAAAUAGUGCACACAUAUUCUGCAGCGCUUUACAGAGAAUAUUUGGGCAUUCACAUCAGUCCCUGCCCCAGUGGAGCUUACAAUCUAUUUUCCCUACCACAUAUAUACGCACACACAUUCACACUAGGGUUUCUUUUGUUGGGAUACAAUUUACCUACCAGUAUAUUUUUGGAUUGUGGGAGGAAACCGGAGUACCCGGAGGAAACCCACGCAAGUACGGGGAGAAUAUACAAACUCCACACAGUUAGGGCCAUGGAGGGAAUAGAACCCAUGACCUCAAUGCUGUGAGGCAGUAAUGCUAACCAUUACACCAUCUGUACUGCCCAAAUCUGAGUGAAUCACCUGAAGCCUCAUUGGUAAGUAGAGACUCAGCAAUCUCAACUGGCAGAAAUGAAAAAUUUGUUCCACAGUCCCCUCUACUUUCCCCUCACUUUAUUGUAUGUACUCCUCCUGCCACGUCACCGCACACGCACCGUCUUCAUUGAAGUAGGCCAUAUAUUCCUCUCUGACCCUUUUAGCCAGAGCAGUCCCGGUUUCUGACACUUGUGGUACCACCACUGAGGGGAACUGAGCAACCUCUUCUGGAUGGUCUGGGUCUUCCACCACAGCUGUGCCCACUGUCCUCUGCUGGGUGGCUUUCUUGUGCAGGAAGUUGUGCAGGACACAGCAUGCAGUGACAACCCAGUCAAUCUUCUUAAUCUUCAAAAUAAUUGCAGUAUGAAGAUCCGGAAUCAGUUGCUCAAGAUCCAAAAGGCAUUCUUGACAAUGCGCCUCAUCCGAGACAGGUGGUAAUUGAAGCACCGCUUCUCUUUAUUGAGGAACCUUUCUGGGAAUGGCUUCAUUAUAUGCUUGUGAAGGGCAAAGACCUCAUCGGCAAUGAAGACCAAGUUUAGGCUGUGUUUCGUUGCCUCUCUAAACGGCAAAAUGCUGGGUAUUUGUGGUGAGUCGGUCGUAGAACCACUGUCAGAGGCACGUUCUUCCCCACAUCUACAAAUAGAAUCUCAUAGUUGGCGUUCACCGCCGCCAUUAUAACAUCUCUGAAGUACCCCUUGUAGUAAUAGUAGUACAACCCACUGUUGGCAGGUGGGGUAAUACGAAUAUGCUUGCCAUUGAUAGCUCUUCAGCAGUUAGGGAACUACCAAUGGCUGUCAAAUUCAACCCCAAUGGCUAUUCACUCUCUAAAAGAAAAGAAAAAAUUAUGUAUAUUAAUACAUGAAAUUGUGUUGGUUUUUUUGUGUGUCUUUUGACAGAUACCAAUUACACCUGACAUUCCCUGCACCCUGGACCUGAGUCCGUCUCCUAUGCAAACCACCCCCACGCCAAAGAAAAAAUGACAACAAAAAAAACAACACACAGGUGGAGGACCCUCUACUACUGCAGGCCAGAGAGGCAUUAUUUAAGCCACCGGACACUGACACUUUUGCCUCCUUAGUGAGCCCUGCACAUAGAGGCUUGUAUGCUGAUUAAAAAAUACAAUUUGAAA